AUGAUUGCAAGGGGAGAGUUUACUGCAGGUAAAAGCAGUAACGCCGAAGGAGCAAGCGACGUUGUGAAUCUCUCAGGCAAAAUGACUCUUGCAGGACG
Molecule: non-coding RNA, 98 nt
Filed under: Lentibacillus amyloliquefaciens
Lineage: Bacteria; Bacillati; Bacillota; Bacilli; Caryophanales; Bacillaceae
Description: Glycine sequence
Rfam family: Glycine riboswitch aptamer
About the family: This family represents the bacterial glycine riboswitch.
Source: Rfam by way of RNAcentral